UACGUAGGGUGCGAGCGUUGUCCGGAAUUAUUGGGCGUAAAGAGCUCGUAGGCGGUGUGUCACGUCGUUCGUGAAAACCUGCAGCUUAACUGUGGGCGUGCGGUCGAUACGGGCAUCACUGGAGUUCGGCAGGGGAGACUGGAAUUCCUGGUGUAGCGGUGAAAUGCGCAGAUAUCAGGAGGAACACCGGUGGCGAAGGCGGGUCUCUGGGCCUUACCUGACGCUGAGGAGCGAAAGCGUGGGGAGCGAACAGG
This 254-nucleotide ribosomal RNA is filed under the name uncultured bacterium. RNAcentral describes it as "partial 16S ribosomal RNA". It matches the Rfam family "Bacterial small subunit ribosomal RNA", at positions 524 to 776 of the family's 1533-position model. The record is from RNAcentral.